GACAGAGGGUGCAAACGUUGUUCGGAAUUACUGGGCGUAAAGCGUGUGUAGGCGGUCCGCUAAGUCGGGUGUGAAAGCCCAGGGCUCAACCCUGGAAUGGCCUUUGAGACUAGAGGACUUGGGUACGGGAGAGGUGAGUGGAAUUCCGAGUGUAGAGGUGAAAUUCGUAGAUAUUCGGAAGAACACCAGUGGCGAAGGCGGCUCACUGGCCCGUUACCGACGCUCAGGCGCGAUAGCGUGGGGAGCAAACAGG
This 253-nucleotide ribosomal RNA is filed under the name uncultured bacterium. RNAcentral's name for it is "partial 16S ribosomal RNA". It matches the Rfam family "Bacterial small subunit ribosomal RNA", at positions 524 to 776 of the family's 1533-position model. The record is from RNAcentral.